RNAcentral lists this ribosomal RNA (696 nucleotides) under Triticum aestivum (bread wheat). RNAcentral's name for it is "partial small subunit ribosomal RNA". The record is from RNAcentral. Lineage: Eukaryota; Viridiplantae; Streptophyta; Magnoliopsida; Poales; Poaceae.
AUGGCAGCUGCAGCCAUGGAAGAGGCGGCAAGGGCAUUCAUAGUGGUCAUGAUAGCACAUUGUGAAACUGGUGUGGCUGCCUUCGUCUUCCCUUCGAGCACCAGACAAUGGCAAGCUGCUGCAUCCAAGGGUUGGAGUGAUUUGUUCCCCUGCCAGGGAGAGUCAGCCAUGAUGUCAUCUAUGCACCCUAAGUUUGUCGGGCGCCAUUACGCAUAUGGCUGCUUUUACUUGGAGUCCACCAUGAAUAAGAAGUUGCUCGCGUUUGACACCCGAAGGAUGGAGUUCUCCAUUGUCGACGUCCCAUGUGAAACAUCAAACAUGUUCGGUCUAGCCAUUGUGGAGGCAGGAGAAGACAUGAUUGGCAUGUUUGAUAUCCAUAGUGAUCUUCGUUAUUACAUUAGAGGAAACAAAGGUGAGAGUUCUAGCCAGUGGAAGAUCAAGAAGACAAUCUCACUACCUUCUGAUUAUCAGUACUAUAUCCAAGCUUCAACCGAGAGGUACUUGCUCCUAAGAAAGAUUGGACCCUUGCAGUCCAUAAGUUCAUCUCCGAAGAUGCUAGAGGUGGAAUAUGUCUCAAUGGACGUCAAGACGUUGCAGCUUGAGAGGGUUUGUGGUAUAUCAUUCGGGUUUAGCUUGGCCAGCGCACGCAUAUAUACAAGCUUCCCACCAUCCUUGUUGUCUGCACCGACAAUAUGA